This is a long non-coding RNA of Gymnogyps californianus (California condor), 284 nucleotides long. RefSeq lists it as uncharacterized. The record is from RefSeq and is a predicted model, not a curated record. The transcript is spliced from 4 exons. Lineage: Eukaryota; Metazoa; Chordata; Aves; Accipitriformes; Cathartidae.
GGCACUCCCGAGAGCGGCGAGGCUGCCACACGGAUUGGGGGUGCUAUACCAGCUGGCCAGUAGUGCUGAGAAUAAUGGUCAGGAUUUGAGCACUAAGGCAAUCUCAAGUAACUAAAGGAGUUCUGGAAAACUACUGAAAGGACUUCAAUAGGACUGUUGUUUUUGAUAGCAGUUGCUGUCAGCUGUGAAAGGCACUUAAUAUGCUAAAAGAGAAUGCUGAUAUAUCUUAUGUAUGUAAUGGGAGGAAAGUUUCAUCUUGAUUUCCCUGAAUUUCUUCACAUGGA